UACGGGGGGGGCAAGCGUUGUUCGGAAUUACUGGGCGUAAAGGGCUCGUAGGUGGCCAACUAAGUCAGACGUGAAAUCCCUCGGCUUAACCGGGGAACUGCGUCUGAUACUGGAUGGCUGGAGAUUGGGAGAGGGAUGCGGAAUUCCUGGUGUAGCGGUGAAAUGCGCAGAUAUCAGGAGGAACACCGGUGGCGAAGGCGGGUCUCUGGGCAGUUCCUGACACUGAGGCACGAAGGCCAGGGGAGCAAACGGG
This 253-nucleotide ribosomal RNA is filed under the name uncultured bacterium. RNAcentral describes it as "partial 16S ribosomal RNA". It matches the Rfam family "Bacterial small subunit ribosomal RNA", at positions 524 to 776 of the family's 1533-position model. The record is from RNAcentral.